UACAGAGGUCUCAAGCGUUGUUCGGAUUCAUUGGGCGUAAAGGGUGCGUAGGCGGCGCGGUAAGUCGGGUGUGAAAUCUCGGAGCUUAACUCCGAAACUGCAUUCGAUACUGCCGUGCUUGAGGACUGGAGAGGAGACUGGAAUUUACGGUGUAGCGGUGAAAUGCGUAGAUAUCGUAAGGAAGACCAGGGGAGAAGGCGGGUCUCUGGACAGUUCCUGACGCUGAGGCACGAAGGUCAGGGGAGCAAACGGG
Molecule: ribosomal RNA, 253 nt
Filed under: uncultured bacterium
Lineage: Bacteria
Description: partial 16S ribosomal RNA
Rfam family: Bacterial small subunit ribosomal RNA
Source: RNAcentral